GAUUAAUAAUUAUUUAUUAAUUGUUUUUUUUUAUUUAUAUAAAUUAUUAAAAAUAUUUAUAAAUUUUAUAGUUUUAGUAUUUAAAAAGAAAAAAUAAUAUUAAUUAUAGUUUAAUAGUAUUGUUAAAUAAAAUUGAAAUAAUUUGAAAAAUUUUUAUUUUAAAAGAAAAUUUAAUUUAUUGUACCUUGUGUAUCAGGGUUUAUUAAAUUAAAAUUAUAUAAGUUAAUUUUCUCGAUUUUAAAAGAGUUAAUAUAUUAUAAAAUUUAUUGUAAUAAAAUUAUUUUAAAUAAUAUAUUAGAAAUGAAAUGUUAUUCGUUUUUAAAGGUAUCUAGUUUUUUAAGAAAUAAAUUUAAUUUAUAAAUUUUAUAUUAUUUAAUUUAAUAUAUUAAUUAAAUAAUUAUUUAAUUUUAAUAUUUUAUGGGAUAAGCUAUAAAAUAAAUUUUUAUAAAUUAUUAAAUAAAUUGAUAAAUAUAAACUUAGAAAUAGUUAUUGUUAAUAAAAAUGUUAUAAUUUAUUUUUUUUAUUAUAUUAUUUAUUUAUAUUUUAAAAUUUUUAUUAAAAUAUUUAUUUUAAUAUUAAAAAUAAAAUAAUAAUGAUAAAAUUAGUAUAUUUAUAUUGUAUAAAUAAAUAUAAUUGAUAAGUUUUUAUAAAGAACUCGGCAAAAAUAAUAUUCGCCUGUUUAACAAAAACAUGUCUUUAUGAAUUAUAUUUAAAGUCUAACCUGCCCACUGAAUUAAAUUUAAAUGGCCGCAGUAUUUUGACUGUGCAAAGGUAGCAUAAUAAUUAGUCUUUUAAUUGAAGGCUAGAAUGAAUGGUUGGACGAAAUAUUAACUGUUUCAUAAAAAUUUUUAUUUGAAUUUUAUUUUUUAGUUAAAAAGCUAAAAUUUAUUUAAAAGACGAGAAGACCCUAUAAAUCUUUAUAUUUAAAUUAUUAUAAUUUUUUAGAAAUAUUUUAUUAUUAUAAUUAAUAAUAUUUUAUUGGGGUGAUAUUAAAAUUUAAUAAACUUUUAAUUUAUAUUUUACAUUAAUUUAUGAAUAAAUGAUCCGUUAUUAACGAUUAAAAAAAUAAGUUACUUUAGGGAUAACAGCGUAAUUUUUUUGGAGAGUUCAUAUCGAUAAAAAAGAUUGCGACCUCGAUGUUGGAUUAAGAUAUAAUUUUAGGUGUAGCCGCUUAAAUUUUAAGUCUGUUCGACUUUUAAAUUCUUACAUGAUCUGAGUUCAAACCGGUGUAAGCCAGGUUGGUUUCUAUCUUUAAAUUAUUAAAAUAUUUUAGUACGAAAGGACCUAAUAUUUGAUAAAUUAUUAUUUAUAAAUUGAAUAUAAUUAAUAUAUAAUAA
RNAcentral lists this ribosomal RNA (1337 nucleotides) under Winthemia sumatrana. Its description in RNAcentral is "16S ribosomal RNA". The record is from RNAcentral. Lineage: Eukaryota; Metazoa; Arthropoda; Insecta; Diptera; Tachinidae.